UGCAGUCGAGCGGUAGAGAGAAGCUUGCUUCUCUUGAGAGCGGCGGACGGGUGAGUAAUGCCUAGGAAUCUGCCUGGUAGGGGGGGAUAACGUUCGGAAACGGACGCUAAUACCGCAUACGUCCUACGGGAGAAAGCAGGGGACCUUCGGGCCUUGCGCUAUCAGAUGAGCCUAGGUCGGAUUAGCUAGUUGGUGAGGUAAUGGCUCACCAAGGCGACGAUCCGUAACUGGUCUGAGAGGAUGAUCAGUCACACUGGAACUGAGACACGGUCCAGACUCCUACGGGAGGCAGCAGUGGGGAAUAUUGGACAAUGGGCGAAAGCCUGAUCCAGCCAUGCCGCGUGUGUGAAGAAGGUCUUCGGAUUGUAAAGCACUUUAAGUUGGGAGGAAGGGCAGUUGCCUAAUACGUAACUGUUUUGACGUUACCGACAGAAUAAGCACCGGCUAACUCUGUGCCAGCAGCCGCGGUAAUACAGAGGGUGCAAGCGUUAAUCGGAAUUACUGGGCGUAAAGCGCGCGUAGGUGGUUUGUUAAGUUGGAUGUGAAAUCCCCGGGCUCAACCUGGGAACUGCAUUCAAAACUGACUGACUAGAGUAUGGUAGAGGGUGGUGGAAUUUCCUGUGUAGCGGUGAAAUGCGUAGAUAUAGGAAGGAACACCAGUGGCGAAGGCGACCACCUGGACUAAUACUGACACUGAGGUGCGAAAGCGU
This 710-nucleotide ribosomal RNA is filed under the name uncultured bacterium. Its description in RNAcentral is "bacterial SSU rRNA". It matches the Rfam family "Bacterial small subunit ribosomal RNA", at positions 56 to 762 of the family's 1533-position model. The record is from RNAcentral.